GUAGACCACAAGGGGUGCUGAUGAAGUCAGCUGAGACUGUGCACGUAUUGCACAAACUCUUUGAACCUGUAAGUUAAUGCUUGCGUAGGGAUUGUGGAUAGAAACCGAC
Molecule: non-coding RNA, 109 nt
Filed under: Caryophanon tenue
Lineage: Bacteria; Bacillati; Bacillota; Bacilli; Caryophanales; Caryophanaceae
Description: TPP sequence
Rfam family: TPP riboswitch aptamer (THI element)
About the family: Vitamin B(1) in its active form thiamin pyrophosphate (TPP) is an essential coenzyme that is synthesised by coupling of pyrimidine and thiazole moieties in bacteria. The previously detected thiamin-regulatory element, thi box was extended, resulting in a new, highly conserved RNA secondary structure, the THI element, which is widely distributed in eubacteria and also occurs in some archaea.
Source: Rfam by way of RNAcentral